UNGAAGCAAUGAUCGACUUUGCAGGAGCCC
RNAcentral lists this non-coding RNA (30 nucleotides) under Mus musculus (house mouse). Lineage: Eukaryota; Metazoa; Chordata; Mammalia; Rodentia; Muridae. The record is from RNAcentral.